CUAGCAGGUCUUGGUUCAAUUGAGGAAGUAAAAGUCGUAACAAGGUCUCCGUUGGUGAACCAGCGGAGGGAUCAUUACCGAGUUUACAACUCCCAAACCCCUGUGAACAUACCACUUGUUGCCUCGGCGGAUCAGCCCGCUCCCGGUAAAACGGGACGGCCCGCCAGAGGACCCCUAAACUCUGUUUCUAUAUGUAACUUCUGAGUAAAACCAUAAAUAAAUCAAAACUUUCAACAACGGAUCUCUUGGUUCUGGCAUCGAUGAAGAACGCAGCAAAAUGCGAUAAGUAAUGUGAAUUGCAGAAUUCAGUGAAUCAUCGAAUCUUUGAACGCACAUUGCGCCCGCCAGUAUUCUGGCGGGCAUGCCUGUUCGAGCGUCAUUUCAACCCUCAAGCACAGCUUGGUGUUGGGACCCGCGUUAAUUCGCGUUCCCCAAAUUGAUUGGCGGUCACGUCGAGCUUCCAUAGCGUAGUAGUAAAACCCUCGUUACUGGUAAUCGUCGCGGCCACGCCGUUAAACCCCAACUUCUGAAUGUGACCUCGAUCAGGUAGAUGCCCACUCC
RNAcentral lists this ribosomal RNA (561 nucleotides) under Fusarium sp. ZH80. Its description in RNAcentral is "eukaryotic LSU rRNA". The stretch from base 226 to 379 matches the Rfam family "5.8S ribosomal RNA". Lineage: Eukaryota; Fungi; Ascomycota; Sordariomycetes; Hypocreales; Nectriaceae. The record is from RNAcentral.